This 771-nucleotide ribosomal RNA is filed under the name uncultured Atopobium sp. RNAcentral's name for it is "bacterial SSU rRNA". It matches the Rfam family "Bacterial small subunit ribosomal RNA", at positions 68 to 855 of the family's 1533-position model. The record is from RNAcentral. Lineage: Bacteria; Bacillati; Actinomycetota; Coriobacteriia; Coriobacteriales; Atopobiaceae.
AUUAAAGCACCUUCGGGUGUGUAUAAAGUGGCGAACGGCUGAGUAACACGUGGGCAACCUGCCCCUCUCAUUGGGAUAGCCACGGGAAACCGUGGAUAAUACCGAAUACUUCGAGACUUCCGCAUGGAAGACUCGAGAAAGCUCCGGCGGAGAGGGAUGGGCCCGCGGCCUGUUAGCUUGUUGGUGGGGUAACGGCCUACCAAGGCAAUGAUGGGUAGCUGGGUUGAGAGACCGACCAGCCAGAUUGGGACUGAGACACGGCCCAGACUCCUACGGGAGGCAGCAGUGGGGAAUCUUGCACAAUGGGCGAAAGCCUGAUGCAGCGACGCCGCGUGCGGGAUGAAGGCCUUCGGGUUGUAAACCGCUUUCAGCAGGGACGAGGCGAAAGUGACGGUACCUGCAGAAGAAGCCCCGGCUAACUACGUGCCAGCAGCCGCGGUAAUACGUAGGGGGCAAGCGUUAUCCGGAUUCAUUGGGCGUAAAGCGCUCGUAGGCGGUCUGUUAGGUCGGGAGUUAAAUCCGGGGGCUCAACCCCCGUUCGCUCCCGAUACCGGCAGACUUGAGUUUGGUAGGGGAAGGUGGAAUUCCUAGUGUAGCGGUGGAAUGCGCAGAUAUUAGGAAGAACACCAGUGGCGAAGGCGGCCUUCUGGGCCAUAACUGACGCUGAGGAGCGAAAGCUAGGGGAGCAAACAGGAUUAGAUACCCUGGUAGUCCUAGCCGUAAACGAUGGACACUAGGUGUGGGGGAAUAUUUCUUCCGUGCCGCAGCUAA